Molecule: ribosomal RNA, 372 nt
Filed under: uncultured bacterium
Lineage: Bacteria
Description: bacterial SSU rRNA
Rfam family: Bacterial small subunit ribosomal RNA
Source: RNAcentral
AGUGAACGCUGGCGGCAGGCCUAACACAUGCAAGUCGAGCGGCAGCGCGGGGCAACCUGGCGGCGAGCGGCAGACGGGUGAGUAACGCGUGGGAACAUACCCUUUGGUUCGGAAUAACUCAGGGAAACUUGAGCUAAUACCGGAUACGUCCGUAAGGAGAAAGAUUUAUCGCCAAAGGAUUGGCCCGCGUCCGAUUAGCUAGUUGGUGAGGUAAGGGCUCACCAAGGCUACGAUCGGUAGCUGGUCUGAGAGGAUGAUCAGCCACAUUGGGACUGAGACACGGCCCAAACUCCUACGGGAGGCAGCAGUGGGGAAUAUUGGACAAUGGGGGCAACCCUGAUCCAGCAAUGCCGCGUGAGUGAAGAAGGCCUU